This 431-nucleotide ribosomal RNA is filed under the name uncultured bacterium. Its description in RNAcentral is "partial 16S ribosomal RNA". It matches the Rfam family "Bacterial small subunit ribosomal RNA", at positions 29 to 507 of the family's 1533-position model. The record is from RNAcentral.
AACGAACGCUGGCGGCAGGCUUAACACAUGCAAGUCGAACGCACCGCCAGGGGAGUGGCAGACGGGUGAGUAACGCGUGGGAACAUACCCUUUUCUACGGAAUAGCUCUGGGAAACUGGAAUUAAUACCGUAUACGCCCUACGGGGGAAAGAUUUAUCGGGGAAGGAUUGGCCCGCGUUGGAUUAGCUAGUUGGUGGGGUAAAGGCCUACCAAGGCGACGAUCCAUAGCUGGUCUGAGAGGAUGAUCAGCCACAUUGGGACUGAGACACGGCCCAAACUCCUACGGGAGGCAGCAGUGGGGAAUAUUGGACAAUGGGCGCAAGCCUGAUCCAGCCAUGCCGCGUGAGUGAUGAAGGCCUUAGGGUUGUAAAGCUCUUUCACCGAUGAAGAUAAUGACGGUAGUCGGAGAAGAAGCCCCGGCUAACUUCGUG